This 301-nucleotide ribosomal RNA is filed under the name uncultured bacterium. Its description in RNAcentral is "partial 16S ribosomal RNA". It matches the Rfam family "Bacterial small subunit ribosomal RNA", at positions 509 to 808 of the family's 1533-position model. The record is from RNAcentral.
CAGCAGCCGCGGUAAUACGUAUGUCACGAGCGUUAUCCGGAUUUAUUGGGCGUAAAGCGCGUCUAGGUGGUUAUAUAAGUCUGAUGUGAAAAUGCAGGGCUCAACUCUGUAUUGCGUUGGAAACUGUAUAACUAGAGUACUGGAGAGGUAAGCGGAACUACAAGUGUAGAGGUGAAAUUCGUAGAUAUUUGUAGGAAUGCCGAUGGGGAAGCCAGCUUACUGGACAGAUACUGACGCUGAAGCGCGAAAGCGUGGGUAGCAAACAGGAUUAGAUACCCCGGUAGUCCCUGUCUCUUAUACC